This 435-nucleotide long non-coding RNA is filed under the name Gossypium barbadense (sea-island cotton). RNAcentral describes it as "long non-coding RNA (GBAR_LNC013731)". The record is from RNAcentral. Lineage: Eukaryota; Viridiplantae; Streptophyta; Magnoliopsida; Malvales; Malvaceae.
UCUUACCGAAUUUUGAGCUCAUGGACGGCGACGGAUUUUUUCCCUGGCAUCUCUGCAUAGCGGAAUGCAAACACAUCACGGAACUAUUGGAGAGGUUGGGUAUACUACAUCACUUCUUCAGGAGCAAGGUGGGGCAUUGAUGAAUAUCGGGCGUGGUUCAUCGUCCAUGCCAAAAUGGAUCUGCUUGACUUCGUCUUCCGUGGGAGGAGCUUUACAUAAUAGGGGGCUCCUUUCUUUCUGACGCUGCACGUGUUAAGGCUUGGAGUUAUUCUUCAUCUUCCUCGCCUGAUUCAUCACUAUCGGAGCUCUAUUAGUAAAUUAGGACUGCUGCGAAGUUUACUGCUACUGCUAGAGAAAGGAAAUCAUCCAGUUGAACUUCAUGGUCUCAACCUUCUGUAGUGGACGACUCAUAAGCUUCAAAUUCUGACCCAUCUC